AGUGAACGCUGGCGGUAGGCCUAACACAUGCAAGUCGAACGGCAGCACAGUAAGAGCUUGCUCUUACGGGUGGCGAGUGGCGGACGGGUGAGGAAUACAUCGGAAUCUACUUUUUCGUGGGGGAUAACGUAGGGAAACUUACGCUAAUACCGCAUACGACCUACGGGUGAAAGCAGGGGAUCUUCGGACCUUGCGCGAUUGAAUGAGCCGAUGUCGGAUUAGCUAGUUGGCGGGGUAAAGGCCCACCAAGGCGACGAUCCGUAGCUGGUCUGAGAGGAUGAUCAGCCACACUGGAACUGAGACACGGUCCAGACUCCUACGGGAGGCAGCAGUGGGGAAUAUUGGACAAUGGGCGCAAGCCUGAUCCAGCCAUACCGCGUGGGUGAAGAAGGCCUUCGGGUUGUAAAGCCCUUUUGUUGGGAAAGAAAAGCAGCAGGUUAAUACCCCGCUGUUCUGACGGUACCCAGAGAAUAAGCACCGGCUAACUUCG
Molecule: ribosomal RNA, 490 nt
Filed under: uncultured bacterium
Lineage: Bacteria
Description: partial 16S ribosomal RNA
Rfam family: Bacterial small subunit ribosomal RNA
Source: RNAcentral